AUUGAACGCUGGCGGCAUGCUUUACACAUGCAAGUCGAACGGUAACAGGCCGCAAGGUGCUGACGAGUGGCGAACGGGUGAGUAAUGCAUCGGAACGUGCACAGUCCUGGGCGAUCACUACUCGAAAGAGCCGCUACUACCACCUACGAACUCUGCAUCACAGCGGGGGGCCGUAAGGCCUCGCGCGAUUGGCGCGGCCGAUGUCAGCGUCGGUAGUUGGUGGGGUAAAGGCUCACCAGGCCAACGAGCUGUAGCUGGUCUGAGAGGAUGAGCAGCCACACUGGGACUGAGACACGGCGCAGAGGCCUAGGGGAGGCAGCGGGGGGGAAGUUUGGACAAUGGGCGAAAGGGUGAUCCAGUAAUGCCGCGUGGAGGAAGAAGGCACGCGGGUUGUAAACUGGUUUUGCACGGAAGGAAGAGGCUCUGGUUAAUACCCGGGGGUAAUGACGGUACCGGAAGAAUAAGCACCGGCUAACUACGUG
RNAcentral lists this ribosomal RNA (482 nucleotides) under uncultured bacterium. RNAcentral's name for it is "partial 16S ribosomal RNA". It matches the Rfam family "Bacterial small subunit ribosomal RNA", at positions 29 to 507 of the family's 1533-position model. The record is from RNAcentral.